GCAAUUAGCUCAGUUGGUUCAGAGCACCUGCCUUACAAGCAGGGGGUCGGGGGUUCGAAUCCCUCAUUGCCC
This 72-nucleotide transfer RNA is filed under the name marine eukaryotic metagenome. It matches the Rfam family "tRNA". Rfam says of the family: Transfer RNA (tRNA) molecules are approximately 80 nucleotides in length. Their secondary structure includes four short double-helical elements and three loops (D, anti-codon, and T loops). The record is from RNAcentral.